RNAcentral lists this long non-coding RNA (214 nucleotides) under Setaria italica (foxtail millet). RNAcentral's name for it is "long non-coding RNA (SITA_LNC000691)". Lineage: Eukaryota; Viridiplantae; Streptophyta; Magnoliopsida; Poales; Poaceae. The record is from RNAcentral.
UUUGUAGGAAGGAAACUUGGCGGAGGCAGGAGGCUUGGAGGAGAGGCCGCUUUAAAGGAUGGGCGAGAUGAUAAGGAUGACACGGCAAGCUGCCCGGGUAUUGGCAGCAAGGGCGAGUGCCGGAGUUCUCUGGCCGCGUGGCGGCGGGGUCAUGCCGCCCGAGGCUUUGUCCAACUGGGGGCGAGGAGGGGCGUGGCUCGCAAGGGGCUACACG